RNAcentral lists this ribosomal RNA (500 nucleotides) under uncultured Candida. RNAcentral's name for it is "eukaryotic LSU rRNA". It matches the Rfam family "Eukaryotic large subunit ribosomal RNA", at positions 41 to 542 of the family's 3401-position model. Lineage: Eukaryota; Fungi; Ascomycota; Saccharomycetes; Saccharomycetales. The record is from RNAcentral.
UUCCAAUAAGCGGAGGAAAAGAAACCAACAGGGAUUGCCUCAGUAACGGCGAGUGAAGCGGCAAAAGCUCAAAUUUGAAAUCCCCCGGGAAUUGUAAUUUGAAGGACCUAUUAAAACCCUGAGAGAGCCCAAAGUCCAUUGGAGAAUCCCGUCCUUGACAGUGAACUACCAGUGUGGACCUCUGUGAGCAUACAUUUUAGGCCCAACGAGUCGAGUUGUUUGGGAAUGCAGCUCAAAAUGGGUGGUAAAUUCCAUCUAAAGCUAAAUAUUGGCGAGAGACCGAUAGCGAACAAGUACCGUGAGGGAAAGAUGAAAAGCACUUUGGAAAGAGAGUUAAACAGUAUGUGAAAUUGUUAAAAGGGAAACGCUUGCAAGCAGACACAACCUCGGUUGGGCCAGCAUCGGGGCGGGGGGAAACAAAAAAGGUGUGGAAUGUGGCUCUUACCGAGUGUUAUAGCCCCACCCAAUAUUUCCAUCCCAUCCCGAGGCCUGCGAUUCUC